GCUGGCGGUGCGCCUUAUGCAUGCAAGUCGAGCGAAGCUUUUCAGUAGUUUACUACAGAAAAUGACUGAGCGGCGAACGGGUGAGUAACGCGUGAGCAAUCUACCUUAGUUACAGGGAUAGCCCGAGGAAACUCGGAUUAAUACCUGAUAUUCUUUACAUUUCGCAUGAAAUCAAAAGGAAAGGUCAGCCGAACUAAGAUGAGCUCGCGUUCUAUCAGCUAGUUGGUGAGGUAAAAGCUCACCAAGGCAACGACGGAUAGCUGGUCUGAGAGGACGAUCAGCCACACUGGGACUGAGACACGGCCCAGACUCCUACGGGAGGCUGCAGCAGGGAAUAUUGCGCAAUGAGCGAAAGCUUGACGCAGCGACACCGCGUGUGGGAUGACGGAUCUAGGUUUGUAAACCACUUUCAGGAGGGAAGAAAAUGACGGUACCUCCACAAGAAGCCCCGGCCAACUACGUGCCAGCAGCCGCGGUAAUACGUAGGGGGCGAGCGUUGUCCGGAUUUAUUGGGCGUAAAGAGCUCGUAGGCGGUUCAACAAGUCGGUCGUAAAAGUUCAGGGCUCAACCCUGAAAUGUCGAUCGAUACUGUUGUGACUAGGAUACGGUAGAGGUGAGUGGAAUUCCGAGUGUAGCGGUGAAAUGCGUAGAUAUUCGGAGGAACACCAAUUGCGAAGGCAGCUCACUGGGCCGCUAUCGACGCUGAGGAGCGAAAGCUAGGGGAGCAAACAGGAUUAGAUACCCUGGUAGUCCUAGCUGUAAACGAUGGAUACUAGACGUAGGAACUGGAUUGACGGUUUCUGUGUCGUAGCUAACGCGUUAAGUAUCCCGCC
This 833-nucleotide ribosomal RNA is filed under the name uncultured bacterium. RNAcentral describes it as "bacterial SSU rRNA". It matches the Rfam family "Bacterial small subunit ribosomal RNA", at positions 35 to 873 of the family's 1533-position model. The record is from RNAcentral.